CCCGUGACACGCCCACCAGCAACACCAGGAGAAAAACACGCUGACGAAUGAGAGGCUUGGAGAUAUAAUAUUUGCAGUGACACAACAGACUGUGUACCACGACGAUGUUGCUUGUUAAGGAAUGGAUGCAGGUGACAAUGCUUGGUUUGUAGAUGACUGCUGUACUGCAAUAUCUGUAAUCAACAGAGCCUGAGGAUAGUGACCCUGGCAGUGUCCCUGGGUGGAGUGGAGAGCAUCCUGGAGCACCCCAUCACCAUGACUCACGGCUCCUACCUCCUGACUCCCGAGGAGAUCGCAGAGAACAGGAUAACCCCCGGACAGCUGAGAAUCAGUAUUGGUAUCGAGGACGCAGACGACCUUAUCGCCGACUUCAAGCAAGCCUUGGACAAAGUGGUUGUGUGAAAAAAGUUCAGCUCAGGACAAGAUCAAGAUGUUAUGCAGAAUUGAUAUUAUACAUAGCAACCGAUAAAAACAUUAUAUACAAGUCCCCAUUGCAGACAGCUUACAAAUACAAACAUCCAGUCCUUGGAUAGCUUCCUAGAAACCCGCACUGUCCUGGUGUCCAGGGGUCAAAGAUCAUGCCAUCAAAACUUCAUCUCAGCUUCAAACAACAGAUAUGAAAACAAACUUUACAAUAGCGCCCUGACUUCACAAAUUGCAUUCAUCUUAAAGCUUCUAUAGACAGUAUGGGAUGAUUAGAAGUGAUGCGAGUGACGCACAAUGUUGUACCUGCACUGCUCUAUCUGUAACUUGGACCCUAAUGUCAGAGUCUUCUACUGGUUUAAAGAUAUUAGUUCAUUUCUGUACUCGACUAAUAAAGCAGACAAAUACUUUGUCCAGUAUCCGUUGAAGUCAAUGCUUAUUUCUAUUUAUAAAAUGCAGUCUUGUGACAUAUUGAAUAAACAGUUUCCUUAUA
Haliotis rubra (blacklip abalone) is the source of this 916-nucleotide long non-coding RNA. RefSeq lists it as uncharacterized. NCBI's taxonomy places the organism in Eukaryota, Metazoa, Mollusca, Gastropoda, Lepetellida, Haliotidae. The record is from RefSeq and is a predicted model, not a curated record. The transcript is spliced from 2 exons.